UUUUUGAGAAUGUGGUCCCAUAAUGGAGCAGAGUGGAGCCUGGAGUGUCUGUUUCCUCUGGCUUGCCUCUCCUGCCCUCUAAACACCCUAAAGGCAGAGGCCACAUGUUCUCCCUCCAGUGAAACAGGGAUGUCAGAGCUGUGACCCUGUGAGGGUUAUACCAUUUCUUUUACAACUAUCAAGAAAGACACUUGAGCAAAACUUCACAAAGAUAGUGUUGGAAAAAAUACCCCCAAGGACCUCAAAACUCCUUUUGACAUCAUUAUUGCAUUCAGAAAAUUACACCUUUUAAAUGUAAAUAUUGUGACCAAUGUAAAUUCAUUUGAAUUAGUCUGGCCGAACCAUGUAUCGAAGCAUUGAAGUUCAUUAUAUGCUCACAUUUUUAAAAUAAGAUUUUUAGGCAUAGUUGUCUUUUUCUAAAGGUACUACAAUGUUUUAAAAUUCCAUAAUUUAACCAAAACCACAUAUUCAUACUUUUUUCAUACAAAGCAGCUGCACCAGCUAACUUCUGGUAGGUAUUGAAAAUAUAAUCUCAGACCUCAAAAUGCAGUCUUUGGUUAAGAGCUUUCACUCAAACAAACCCACUCCAAAGGGGAAAUCUUGUCAAGUACAAAGAAAUAACAGUUUUUAAAAAUCAUUAAACAUUCAAACUUCUCCAAUUUGAACUGAUGUUAAAGAAAGAUACAUUUUAUCCUAUACCUUCCCUGGGAGUGAUUGCUCUCCUCUUCAUGGGUGUAACUGGAAAUCAUUCCAAGUUGAGUCAUGUCACCCUUUUGCAUCACUGCAGGCUCUGGCUGUAAGCAUCUCUCCCUGGGAUGGGAGCUCCGUGGCCCUGACAGCUGCAAUUUCUUUAUGAUGGGGGCAGGGAUGAGGAGGAAAACAACAGUAGCUAGUACACCAGGUGCUUUCUAUGUGCAGUUUACCAUGCCAGAAAUUGACAUAUGUAUUUCGUGUAUGUUCCCUAACCCCGUAGGAGUUAAGACAUGUGUCUCAUAGGUGUUGUGAGGAUAAGGUAAGGCAGUGUAUAAAAAGCAAGAACAGCUGCUGGCUCAUAGGUCAGCAGUUGAUAUAUUUGCCAAUGGAGCCACAAAACCACCUUGUCCCUAGGAAAAUCUAAUGGGCUGGGUGGCCACCCCACCACCAGGAAACCUGACCUAGUGCACAGAGAACUCCCUUCAAAUCCUGUGGCCCACAGCAAUGGCUGCCACCCACCUUGCCAGGCCCAGAACCCCUGCAUUGUUCUGGCUUUGACUCCCAGGCCAGCAGUGAGGCUGCCCACCCUGCCUUGGAGAGAGGCUGCUGCCAGCUCUGGGCUGUGGAAUUUGGAAGAGAAGGUGGCCUGAAUGGCAUACCCACCUGUGGCACCCGUCCUGGGGAAAUUCCCAAGAGUAAAUUCUGGGCUGACAUUUUUGUGAUGAGGGGUUGGGAGUUGGGGCUAAACUGCAGAGCAAACCAGACUGAGGGUUAGGAGGAGGCUGAACCCUGUUCCUGGGUUAUUUUGACACCGUCUCCAGCAGAUUCAUUCACUCAUAUCACAAGCCUUUCUCAAGCACCUACUAUAGGCUGAAUGCCAAGUAUCCCCCAGUUCAGAAGGGAAAAAAGGCAGGUAAAGAAAUAAUUACAAUCUGCCGGGUGCGGUGGCUCACGCCUGUAAUCCCAGCACUUUGGGAGACCAAGGCAGGUGCAUCACCUGAGGUUGGGAGUUCGAGACCAGCCUGACCAACAUGAAGAAACUCCGUCUCUACUAAAAAUACAAAAUUAGCUGGGCGUGGUGGUGCAUGCCUAUAAUCCCAGCUACUCGGGAGACUGAGGCAGGAGAAUCGCUUGAACCCGGGAGGCGGAAGUUGCAGUGAGCCAAGAUUGCACCAUUGCACUCCAGCCUGGGCAACAAGAGCAAACUCCAUCUCAAUAAUAAUAAUAAUAAUAAUAAUAAUAAUAAUAAUAAUAACGAUCAUGUAGACAGGUGGGAAUGAUUUAGCUAACAGGGUAGGGAGCAGGCAAGACGUUAGAAAGGGCACCUGGAGAAGGCAUCUCUGAAAUUGCAUCAGUUCUUUUCUUGCCCUACUUCCAUGCACAGCUGAUUCAUGCACAGGGAAUGAGGUGUGUUAGGCUGUUAUUGCAUUGCUAUAAAGAAAUACCUGAGACUGGGUAAUUUAUAGAGAAAAGAGGUUUAAUUGGCUCACAGUUCUGCAGGAUGUGCAGGAAUCAUGACAUUGGCAUCUGCUUGGCUUCUGGGGAGGCCUCAGGAAACUUACAAUCAUGGCAGAAGGCAAAGGGGGAGCUGGUAUCUCACAUGGCAGAGCAGGAACAAGGUAGUUGUGUGUGGGGGGGUGUUACACUUAAACCACCAGAUCUCAAGAGAACUCACUAUCCCGAGGAUAGCACCAAGCCAUGAGGGAUCUGCCCCAUGACCCAAACACCUUGCACCUGGCCCCAUCUUCAGUGCUGGAAAUUACAUCUCAACAUGAGAUUUGGUGGGGCAUCCAAACUAUAUCACAAGGAGAGCCAAACUCC
This 2514-nucleotide long non-coding RNA is filed under the name Homo sapiens (human). Its description in RNAcentral is "non-protein coding lnc-RAB11FIP2-5:1". Lineage: Eukaryota; Metazoa; Chordata; Mammalia; Primates; Hominidae. The record is from RNAcentral.